This 378-nucleotide unclassified non-coding RNA is filed under the name uncultured Gammaproteobacteria bacterium. RNAcentral's name for it is "contains 16S-23S intergenic spacer region". The record is from RNAcentral. Lineage: Bacteria; Pseudomonadati; Pseudomonadota; Gammaproteobacteria.
UCCGAUUUAUCACCGGCAGUCUCCUUAGAGUUCCCACCAUUACGUGCUGGCAACUAAGGACGAGGGUUGCGCUCGUUACGGGACUUAACCCAACAUCUCACGACACGAGCUGACGACAGCCAUGCAGCACCUGUCUCUCAGUUCCCGAAGGCACCGAGUUAUUUCUAACAAGUUCUGAGGAUGUCAAGAGUAGGUAAGGUUCUUCGCGUUGCGUCGAAUUAAACCACAUGCUCCACCGCUUGUGCGGGCCCCCGUCAAUUCCUUUAAGUUUUAACCUUGCGGCCGUACUCCUCAGGCGGAGAACUUAUCGCGUUAGCUACGAUACUAAGAGAUUAAAUCUCCCAACAUCUAGUUCUCAUCGUUUACGGCGUGGACUAC